GACGAACGCUGGCGGCGUGCCUAAUACAUGCAAGUCGAACGCUUUUUCUUUCACCGGAGCUUGCUCCACCGAAAGAAAAAGAGUGGCGAACGGGUGAGUAACACGUGGGUAACCUGCCCAUCAGAAGGGGAUAACACUUGGAAACAGGUGCUAAUACUGUAUAACACUAUUUUACGCACGGAAGAAAGAUGAAAGGCGCUUUUGCGUCACUGAUGGAUGGACCCGCGGUGCAUUAGCUAGUUGGGUAGGUAACGGCUCACCAAGGCAACGAUGCAUAGCCGACCUGAGAGGGUGAUCGGCCACACUGGGACUGGGACACGGCCCAGACUCCUACGGGAGGCAGCAGUAGGGAAUCUUCGGCAAUGGACGAAAGUCUGACUGAGCAACGCCGCGUGAGUGAAGGAGGUUUUCGGAUCGUAAAACUCUGUUGUUAGAGAAGAACAAGGAUGAGAGUAGAACGUUCAUCCCUUGACGGUAUCUAACCAGAAAGCCACGGCUAACUACGUGCCAGCCGCCGCAGUAA
Molecule: ribosomal RNA, 523 nt
Filed under: uncultured bacterium
Lineage: Bacteria
Description: partial 16S ribosomal RNA
Rfam family: Bacterial small subunit ribosomal RNA
Source: RNAcentral